Molecule: ribosomal RNA, 461 nt
Filed under: uncultured bacterium
Lineage: Bacteria
Description: partial 16S ribosomal RNA
Rfam family: Bacterial small subunit ribosomal RNA
Source: RNAcentral
GAUGAACGCUGGCGGCAUGCUUUACACAUGCAAGUCGGACGGUAAGUGGUGUUUCCAGUGGCGGCCGGGUGAGUAACGCGUAAGAACCUGCCCUUGGGAGGGGAACAACAGCUGGAAACGGCUGCUAAUACCCCGUAGGCUGAGUAGCGAAAGGAGGAAUCCGCCCAAGGAGGGGCUCGCGUCUGAUUAGCUAGUUGGUGAGGUAAUAGCUUACCAAGGCCGUGAGCAGUAGCUGGUCCGAGAGGAUGAUCAGCCACACUGGGACUGAGACAAGGCCCAGACGUCGACGGGAGGCAGCAGGAGGGAAACUUCGGCAAUGGAAGAAAGUCUGACCGAGCAACGCCGCGGGAGUGAAGAAGGUUUUCGGAUCGGAAAACUCUGUUGGUAGAGAAGAACGAUGAGGAGAGUGGAAAGCUCAUCAAGUGACGGUAACUACCCAGAAAGGGACGGCUAACUACGUG